Long non-coding RNA from Brienomyrus brachyistius, 934 nucleotides. RefSeq lists it as uncharacterized. The transcript is spliced from 3 exons. The record is from RefSeq and is a predicted model, not a curated record. Lineage: Eukaryota; Metazoa; Chordata; Actinopteri; Osteoglossiformes; Mormyridae.
GGGGGCUAUUCUUCCUAGGGCAGAGGCACAAGUAUCUUCGAGGUCUUACCCUUCCUGCCAGCCAAAGAGGUUCAUCCAGGCCUUACCCGAGAGAGAGACUGCGCUGACCGGUCAAGAGAAAAUCUACAAGAGACCUGAAUCAGCAGUGUUAUAAAGCACAUAGCCAACGCUAAUUAAUAAAGAAUUUAAGCAUAAUAGCCCAGACGUACCAUGGCCUAUAGCUGGUAGAAACGGAGCUAUCCUACGGCCUACAAGAUAAAAGCAUAUGGCACCAAAUUGGAAUCAGUAGUCUUUAAAAGAAUAAAUGGACUAGCAACUGUCUCUGGGGGAGCAGCCCCGGUUAGGUACUAUUAAGCAGCAUAGCAACUGUCUCUGGGGGAGCAGCCCCGGUUAGGUACUAUUAAGCAGCAUUUAGUGACAUGCAUCAAAACACAUUUUUUAAAACUUUGACAGAAUAAAGUCUUAGUUAUUUUAAUAAAUAUGUUUUUCAGUAAAUGUUUAUUCACGCGCAUGCGGACAAACACACACCCCGGAGGUCAAACUAAAAAAAAGUUGAUACAAACUACAGUUGUAUCGGACACGCACACAAAAACACGAGAGUUUGCUCAAUCAAAAAACACCAAACAUAUAUAGUUCACGUUUUUUAUUAAAAUGUAUAAGGAUUGUUUUCUUAUAGCGAAAUUUUAAAUUAAUAUGAGUGGGAUAUAAGUCAUUUAGGCAACAGGAUUUGAGGAAGAACCUAAAUAGCAGCUAGAAAUGACCGACCAGGCAGGCAGAAGUCUGCUUUUCUUAUCUCACAAGUCAUGGAAGGGUGGGAGGGGGGCCACAUAAGUGUAGGGUAGGAACUGUGGAAUCAGGCAGGGGUGCAAGAAUUUAGGAUAUAGUCUUGUUAUUUUAAAGAAGGUGUACAUGAUUAUUUAAUUACAUUUAAUAG